AUGGAAUGCCUUUUGGGGUAAAGGAGGAAACGGAGCCCCUCUUAACCCUAAUAAUCACCGUAAGCCUAACAACAUAAAUUCAUUGUUAAACAACUCUGAAGGCAUGAUGGGAGAGCCGUAUGUUAAACGUUACACUCAGGUAGUAGGACCAAGCAAGCAUCGUAACCGUUACGACACGGAAACUGACCCCAGUAAAGUUAUCACUAAAGAUUACGAGUUUCGAACCCCCUGGGCAGCAACAAUGACCUAAUUACAUACAAUUUGAGAAAACUUAAAAGUGGAAGACAGUUGAAAUUUUACAGACAUCAGAUGAUAUAAUAUUUGAUUGCGUUUUAAAGUGUGAUAUCU
Molecule: long non-coding RNA, 348 nt
Organism: Limulus polyphemus (Atlantic horseshoe crab)
Lineage: Eukaryota; Metazoa; Arthropoda; Merostomata; Xiphosura; Limulidae
Exons: 3
Source: RefSeq, a predicted model, not a curated record